GAUGAACGCUAGCUACAGGCUUAACACAUGCAAGUCGCGGGGCAGCAUGGGGGUUGCUUGCAAUCCCCGAUGGCGACCGGCGCACGGGUGAGUAACGCGUAUCCAACCUGCCCUUCACCACGGGAUAACCCGGCGAAAGUCGGACUAAUACCGUAUGUUGUCCAUUGACGGCAUCCGAUUUGGACGAAAGGUUUGGCGGUGAAGGAUGGGGAUGCGUCCGAUUAGCUGGACGGCGGGGUGACGGCCCACCGUGGCGACGAUCGGUAGGGGUUCUGAGAGGAAGGUCCCCCACACUGGAACUGAGACACGGUCCAGACUCCUACGGGAGGCAGCAGUGAGGAAUAUUGGUCAAUGGGCGUAAGCCUGAACCAGCCAAGUAGCGUGCAGGAUGACGGCCCUAUGGGUUGUAAACUGCUUUUAUGCGGGGAUAAAGUGGCCCACGUGUGGGUUUUUGCAGGUACCGCAUGAAUAAGGACCGGCUAAUUGCGUG
This 490-nucleotide ribosomal RNA is filed under the name uncultured bacterium. RNAcentral's name for it is "partial 16S ribosomal RNA". It matches the Rfam family "Bacterial small subunit ribosomal RNA", at positions 28 to 507 of the family's 1533-position model. The record is from RNAcentral.